AACGAACGCUGGCGGCAUGCCUAACACAUGCAAGUCGAACGAGACCUUCGGGUCUAGUGGCGUACGGGUGCGUAACGCGUGGGAACCUGCCCUUAGGUUCGGAAUAACUCCCCGGAAGGGGUGCUAAUACCGGAUAAUGUCUUCGGACCAAAGGUUUAUCGCCUUUGGAUGGGCUCGGGUUGGCUUAGCUGGUUGGUAGGGUAAAAGCCUACCAAGGCGACGUUGCAUAGCUGGUCUGAGAGGAUGGUCAGCCACACUGGGACUGAGACACGGCCCAGACUCCUACGGGAGGCAGCAGUGGGGAAUAUUGGACAAUGGGCGAAAGCCUGAUCCAGCAAUGCCGCGUGAGUGAUGAAGGCCUUAGGGUUGUAAAGCUCUUUUACCCGGGAUGAUAAUGACAGUACCGGGAGAAUAAGCUCCGGCUAACUCCGUG
Molecule: ribosomal RNA, 433 nt
Filed under: uncultured bacterium
Lineage: Bacteria
Description: partial 16S ribosomal RNA
Rfam family: Bacterial small subunit ribosomal RNA
Source: RNAcentral